RNAcentral lists this small nucleolar RNA (90 nucleotides) under Lupinus angustifolius (narrow-leaved blue lupine). Its description in RNAcentral is "Small nucleolar RNA snoR27". It matches the Rfam family "Small nucleolar RNA snoR27". The record is from Rfam by way of RNAcentral. Lineage: Eukaryota; Viridiplantae; Streptophyta; Magnoliopsida; Fabales; Fabaceae.
UAUGGAUCUGUGAUGUUAUAAUUAAACUGCGUUAUCUAUCUGAUACUUCCUCAGGGAAUUGAAGAUAACUAUAAUUUGCUGAGAUCUGUU